This 859-nucleotide ribosomal RNA is filed under the name Comamonadaceae bacterium. Its description in RNAcentral is "bacterial SSU rRNA". It matches the Rfam family "Bacterial small subunit ribosomal RNA", at positions 64 to 921 of the family's 1533-position model. Lineage: Bacteria; Pseudomonadati; Pseudomonadota; Betaproteobacteria; Burkholderiales; Comamonadaceae. The record is from RNAcentral.
GUACGCGGUAGACAAUCCUGGUGGCGAGUGGCGAACGGGUGAGUAAUAUAUCGGAACGUGCCCAGUCGUGGGGGAUAACGCAGCGAAAGCUGUGCUAAUACCGCAUACGAUCUACGGAUGAAAGCGGGGGAUCGCAAGACCUCGCGCGAUUGGAGCGGCUGAUAUCAGAUUAGCUAGUUGGUGGGGUAAAGGCCUACCAAGGCGACGAUCUGUAGCUGGUCUGAGAGGACGACCAGCCACACUGGAACUGAGACACGGUCCAGACUCCUACGGGAGGCAGCAGUGGGGAAUUUUGGACAAUGGGCGCAAGCCUGAUCCAGCAAUGCCGCGUGCAGGAUGAAGGCCUUCGGGUUGUAAACUGCUUUUGUACGGAACGAAAAGGUCUUUCUUAAUACGAGAGAUUUAUGACGGUACCGUAAGAAUAAGCACCGGCUAACUACGUGCCAGCAGCCGCGGUAAUACGUAGGGUGCGAGCGUUAAUCGGAAUUACUGGGCGUAAAGCGUGCGCAGGCGGUUUUGUAAGACAGAUGUGAAAUCCCCGGGCUCAACCUGGGACCUGCAUUUGUGACUGCAAGGCUAGAGUACGGUAGAGGGGGAUGGAAUUCCGCGUGUAGCAGUGAAAUGCGUAGAUAUGCGGAGGAACACCGAUGGCGAAGGCAAUCCCCUGGACCUGUACUGACGCUCAUGCACGAAAGCGUGGGGAGCAAACAGGAUUAGAUACCCUGGUAGUCCACGCCCUAAACCAAUGUCAACCUGGUUGUUGGGUCUGUACUGACUCAGUAACGAACCUAACCCGUGAAGAUGAACCCCCUGGGGAUUACAGAUCGCAAGGUUGAAAUUCAACGGAGUGAUUGGGAUC